RNAcentral lists this transfer RNA (63 nucleotides) under Haustorioides koreanus. RNAcentral's name for it is "tRNA-Trp". Lineage: Eukaryota; Metazoa; Arthropoda; Malacostraca; Amphipoda; Dogielinotidae. The record is from RNAcentral.
UAGAUUUUAAGUUAUACAAACUAUGGGCCUUCAAAGUCCGCAAAGAAAUAGUUUCAAAUCUAA